UCAAAUACAACAGCAUGUAAAAAGGCUUUAGUAUUUUCAGUCCUAUUAGUCUACAUGAUUAUUUAACAGAAUAAAUUGACACAGAAAAAUGAAAUUUACCUCUCCGUAGAUACGCCACUGCUAAUAUGGAAAGAUAUAUUAGAAACUUUAUUUAACUUUAUUUAAUAGCUAAAUGAUAUAUGGAAAAAUAUUAGAAACUUUGCUUAAUAGCAAAGCAAUUAGAAGGUAAUUUAAAAAAUACGUCACACUAAUUGAUGGAGAAAAUACAGUAAUUAAAGACCCAUCAAUAUAAUUACUGGAUUUUGAUAUAAAAACGAGAAAAGUAGUGAAAAUAUUGUAUUCGAGAUUUCGAGGCAGUUAAGUACAUUUGGUAUAUUGUGAACAUAGCAGUAAGGUGAGUACUAUUUUUACUUUAUUCUGAUUUUUUAUUUAUAUUCGUACCUUAUAUGCCAUUUUUUCUGUUUUAUUUUUCUAGUAUUUCUAGAUAUUUUUUGCUUCUUAUAUAUGAGAGUUUGCUUCUUUGUUCCUGAAGCUGAACUGAUUUUCACGUAUCCGUAUAUCAAUUGGUCAUAUGUGAUAGUUGUAUUGCUCUUGGUACAUUGUUGUCUCUUUUUUGUAAAUACACUGCUUCUCCAUUCAUCUGGCUUUGUCCAACUUCCAUAAUUCUACUAAAUAAACCUAUAUAAAAAGCAUGGAAAACGAGUUGCAGCAAUUCAUAUCUCUCGCUCUUUCUUACAAUGUGUCAGAGGCAUUCGAUUUUAUUGUGGUUACCAGCUCUUUUUCUUUUUUAAUUCUUAAUAAAAUGAUCUAAUUAGUUACGUGAUGGGAAUAAGAUAUAUACAAAAAUAUGAAAAAAAUGUUUUAUUUCUUUGGAAUAAAAUAAAAAAGCCAAGUUGGUUGACUGGUUUAAAGCUUUGCAGUGCAGGAGAUUUGAACCUAUGGUCUAACACUUACUUAUUUUCAAUGCAAUUUAACAAAGCCUUAAAUCACUCAACCAACGUGGCUUUGGAACUUUGCUCUAAAAAAUAACGAUGAUAUUCACAUGUUACGACAUUCAUAUUGAUAAUAAAAAGAAAUAAAUAUUUUCAAAUAAUAUUUUAUUCAAAAUACUGUUAUUUAGAGUGUGAGCUUUGGUACACGACACCCAUAUAAAAAGCGUGGCUGUCCCCUCCUUCCUUCUUUCAGCCAACGUCUCCAGUCCUUUCUGUGCUGACAUUCUCCAUCUCGUCUUUUCUUUUAGAUAUAUAUUUUUGUAUUUUUGUUUCUGUUCUGACAACAGCAUUUCCUGUCUUUAUUUUUUAAGUGCUUGAAUUACUUCGGAGGGAAUGAAGUUGCAUGAAGUCUUGCAUUGCAGAGUCAUAAUUUCUCGAUUUUUUUAUUUAUACAUAUUCACAAUAUAUUUUAGUCUGAUUUUAGCUUAUAUUUGUAACUUUGGAUAUACGUAAUUUUUUAGUCGAAUUCUAUUUAUCUUUGAACCUUAAUCUAUCCAAAAUUUCGAUAAAUCCUCAGCCCUAUUUUUUCAAAUUAUUUUAAUUAAACUAAAAGACUUUUGUUUAAAAAAUUUGCAAUAUUCUUUCUAUUAGAGUCCUUCCUCUAUCUAUCAUAGGAUUUUUACAGCUGUCACCGCCUUCCUUCUUUCAGCCAACGUCUCCAGUCCUUUCUGUGCUGACAUUCUCCAUCUCGUCUUUUCUUUUAGAUAUAUAUUUUUGUCUUUUUGUUUCUGUUCUGACUCAACAGCAUUUCCUGUCUUUAUUUUUGAAGUGCUUGAACCACUUCGGAGGGAAUGAAGUUGUAUAUAGCAAAAAAUAAAAGUCGUCUGUUGUUUUGUUUCUGUUGUAUCUAGAGCCUUCUAGAGUUGCAGUAGAUUAAAAUCCUAUAUUUUAGUUUUUAGUAUUUCUCUUAGAACUUUUUUGUUCUUUUUCUUCUGUUUUGUCCAGUGCCCAAGAGCGUUGCAGCAGAUUAGAAUUUUUAGUAUUUUAUUCAUACAUAUUAGUUAUAUCUUUGCUUACAUUCGUAACUUAUGUAUGUGUAAUUUUCUCGAUCGAAUUACUCUAACUAAACUAAAAGACUUUUGCUUUGAAUUUUUUAUUAGAGACCCUUCGUUUGGAUAUAUAUGUUUUGUGUCGGUUCUAUUCAGAGUCUCGUAGCGUUGCUUCAAAUCUCGCAAUAUUUUUUCUAUUUUAUCGAUUUUUUCGAAGAGUCAAGUUGAUUAUAGCAAGUUGUUAUUGUUUUAGGUGGAUUUAGCAAAAAUAAAGCAAGGUUUCAUCCAUUGCAGUGGAAACGAACAUCCAGCAGCCAAAUUAGAAAUCGUUGAAACUUAGAAUAAAAAAGAGGGUGGAUUUAGCAAGAAAUAAGCAAGGUUUCAUCCAUUGCAGUGGAAACGAACAUCCAGCAGCCAAAUUCAAAAUCGUUGAAACUUAGAAUAAAAAAAGGGUGGAUUUAGCAAGAAAUAAGCAAGGUUUCAUCCAUUGCAGUGGAAACGAACAUCCAGCAGCCAAAUUCGAAAUCGUUGAAACUUAACUUAACUAAUCGUUGAAUAAAAAAGAGGGUAAGUGAUUUUGUUUUUUUAUAAGCCAUACAAUAUAAUAUUGAAAUGAUUAAGGAAAUAGUUAAGCAGUCGGAUAAUCUAUUAUUAACUAUUAAAAGACUUCGUAAAAUAAUUUUUGAUAAAUUUACUCAAAAUGAUGCUAAAGUAUGGUUAAAGCGAUUAAAUGCACAUAUUUGCAAAUGUAAUAAUUUAAUUAAAGCUAAAAAAUUACCCAUUGGAACUGCUAAAAAAUUACAAUCAAACGUAGGACAUUUUAAACAUUUUCGAAGAAUAAUUUUAAAUUUUAAUAGACGUGUUGGUCUAGGACUUAAUUCAAAAUUACGAAAUAGAGUAAAAUGGGAAAAUGUCGCUUCAAGUUUUGCAAGUCGGAUUAAGACAGGGGUUAUAAUAAAUUUAUAUCAUAAGGAUGUAGGACCGUUUUUGAAUGAUGCUUUUACCAUAUUUAAACAAAAAGUUAAAACUGUUUUGAAAUCUAAUAGAGUACUUAAAGUCAACACUACUUUGUGGGGGGAAUUUAUU
Molecule: long non-coding RNA, 3067 nt
Filed under: Diabrotica virgifera virgifera (western corn rootworm)
Lineage: Eukaryota; Metazoa; Arthropoda; Insecta; Coleoptera; Chrysomelidae
Description: uncharacterized LOC126886013
Source: RNAcentral